GGGGUUGUGGCUCAGUGGUAGAGCGCUCGCCAGGCAUGUGUGAGGCACUGGGUUCAAUUCUCAGCACCACUU
RNAcentral lists this transfer RNA (72 nucleotides) under Marmota marmota marmota (Alpine marmot). It matches the Rfam family "tRNA". From Rfam's summary of the family: Transfer RNA (tRNA) molecules are approximately 80 nucleotides in length. Their secondary structure includes four short double-helical elements and three loops (D, anti-codon, and T loops). The record is from Rfam by way of RNAcentral. RNAcentral also lists the same sequence under 1 other name. Lineage: Eukaryota; Metazoa; Chordata; Mammalia; Rodentia; Sciuridae.